UACGGAGGGUGCAAGCGUUAUCCGGAUUUAUUGGGUUUAAAGGGUCCGUAGGCGGGCCGAUAAGUCAGUGGUGAAAUCUCGCAGCUUAACUGUGAAACUGCCAUUGAUACUGUUGGUCUUGAGUAAAUUUGAAGUGGCUGGAAUAAGUAGUGUAGCGGUGAAAUGCAUAGAUAUUACUUAGAACACCAAUUGCGAAGGCAGGUCACUAAGAUUUAACUGACGCUGAUGGACGAAAGCGUGGGUAGCGAACAGG
Molecule: ribosomal RNA, 253 nt
Filed under: uncultured bacterium
Lineage: Bacteria
Also listed under: 1 other name
Description: partial 16S ribosomal RNA
Rfam family: Bacterial small subunit ribosomal RNA
Source: RNAcentral